UGGGGAAUCUUGCCCAAUGGGCGAAAGCCUGAGGCAGCAACGCCGCGUGUGGGAUGACGGCCUUCGGGUUGUAAACCACUUUCAGCAGGGACGAAAUUGACGGUACCUGCAGAAGAAGCUCCGGCCAACUACGUGCCAGCAGCCGCGGUAAUACGUAGGGAGCGAGCGUUGUCCGGAUUUAUUGGGCGUAAAGCGCGCGUAGGCGGUUUGAUAAGCCGGGUGUGAAACCUCCAAGCUCAACUUGGAGCGGCCACUCGGAACUGUCAUGACUUGAGUCAGGUAGGGGAACACGGAAUUCCAGGUGUAGCGGUGAAAUGCUUAGAUAUCUGGAGGAACACCAGUGGCGAAGGCGGUGUUCUGGGCCUGUACUGACGCUGAUGCGCGAAAGCGUGGGGAGCGAACAGGAUUAGAUACCC
Molecule: ribosomal RNA, 416 nt
Filed under: uncultured bacterium
Lineage: Bacteria
Description: bacterial SSU rRNA
Rfam family: Bacterial small subunit ribosomal RNA
Source: RNAcentral